RNAcentral lists this ribosomal RNA (274 nucleotides) under uncultured bacterium. Its description in RNAcentral is "partial 16S ribosomal RNA". It matches the Rfam family "Bacterial small subunit ribosomal RNA", at positions 523 to 796 of the family's 1533-position model. The record is from RNAcentral.
AUACGGAGGGUGCGAGCGUUAAUCGGAAUUACUGGGCGUAAAGAGUACGUAGGCGGUUUGGCCAGUCUGAUGUGAAAGCCCCGGGCUUAACCUGGGAACUGCAUUGGAUACUGUCAGACUUGAGUACAGGAGAGGAGAGUGGAAUUUCCAGUGUAGCGGUGAAAUGCGUAGAUAUUGGAAGGAACACCAGUGGCGAAGGCGGCUCUCUGGACUGAUACUGACGCUGAGGUACGAAAGCGUGGGGAGCAAACAGGAUUAGAAACCCUUGUAGUCC